Molecule: small nucleolar RNA, 72 nt
Organism: Myxocyprinus asiaticus (Chinese sucker)
Lineage: Eukaryota; Metazoa; Chordata; Actinopteri; Cypriniformes; Catostomidae
Source: RefSeq, a predicted model, not a curated record
UGUGUAUGAUGAAUCCUAUAGCGGAAUCCGAUUUUAUAAUGCGGAUAAACACCUUGGAGAACUGAACACUCA